Molecule: long non-coding RNA, 647 nt
Organism: Quercus lobata
Lineage: Eukaryota; Viridiplantae; Streptophyta; Magnoliopsida; Fagales; Fagaceae
Exons: 2
Source: RefSeq, a predicted model, not a curated record
UUGCUCUCUUUUUCUCUUAAGGAAAGUGUUAGGAAGCUCCCUUGAGUCUUUCUCUUGAGUCCAAGGGUUCACACAACAAAAGAAAGAAAAUUCUCUUAACUCUUCCCUCACUUUCAUUCCCACGGGUCCUAAACCAAAAGAAAGAAAAUUCUCUCAAGCUCUCUACCUCUCAUAAUUUUGGGCCCAGCCACUAGGAAAUGGGGAAAUCCUUCCAUGCAAGAGUGAUUCUAUUUCUUCUUGGAACCAGAAAUUUGGUGUUAUCAGUAUCCAGGUCUAAGCUCCUUCGACUGUAGGCUCUCGGUUCCUCUGCUUUCAGGUAAGGGAUAAGUUAUAUGGGCAUUUGGUAAGUCAUGAGGUUAUUUUGAAGUAGAUUAUGUAUUAAAAAUGUUUUUGAUUAGAGAUAUGGCAUAUAUUCAUUAUUCUGACAAGAUAUGUUCGUGAGUUCUCGAAACCCUAUGUAUAUGAUUUAAGUAGAUUGAUGCCAUUACUAAUUUUCACGAACAUGAUGUUUAAUAAAAAGAAUGGAAAUGCUAUUAUUAUGAAAUGUUAUGCAAAAGAAGAAAUUUCAGUAUGAUGUAAAAGUAUGAAAUGUUUUCGGGUUAUGUCCUCUGAUGAUCUGAACUCUGUCAGUAGGGGUUAAUUACUGA